Molecule: ribosomal RNA, 478 nt
Filed under: uncultured bacterium
Lineage: Bacteria
Description: partial 16S ribosomal RNA
Rfam family: Bacterial small subunit ribosomal RNA
Source: RNAcentral
GACGAACGCUGGCGGCGUGCUUAACACAUGCAAGUCGAACGGUAAGGCCCUUCGGGGUACACGAGUGGCGAACGGGUGAGUAACACGUGGGUGAUCUGCCCUGCACUUCGGGAUAAGCCUGGGAAACUGGGUCUAAUACCGGAUAGGACCACUGCCUGCAUGGGUGGUGGUGGAAAGCUUUUGCGGUGUGGGAUGGGCCCGCGGCCUAUCAGCUUGUUGGUGGGGUGAUGGCCUACCAAGGCGACGACGGGUAGCCGGCCUGAGAGGGUGAACGGCCACACUGGGACUGAGAUACGGCCAAGACUCCUACGGGAGGCAGCAGUGGGGAAUAUUGCACAAUGGGCGCAAGCCUGAUGCAGCGACGCCGCGUGAGGGAUGACGGCCUUCGGGUUGUAAACCUCUUUCAGCACCGACGAAGCGCAAGUGACGGUAGGUGCAGAAGAAGGACCGGCCAACUACGUGCCAGCCGCCGCGGUAA